RNAcentral lists this ribosomal RNA (492 nucleotides) under uncultured bacterium. RNAcentral's name for it is "partial 16S ribosomal RNA". It matches the Rfam family "Bacterial small subunit ribosomal RNA", at positions 29 to 507 of the family's 1533-position model. The record is from RNAcentral.
AGUGAACGCUGGCGGUAGGCCUAACACAUGCAAGUCGAACGGCAGCACAGUAAGAGCUUGCUCUUACGGGUGGCGAGUGGCGGACGGGUGAGGAAUACAUCGGAAUCUACUUUUUCGUGGGGGAUAACGUAGGGAAACUUACGCUAAUACCGCAUACGACCUACGGGUGAAAGCAGGGGAUCUUCGGACCUUGCGCGAUUGAAUGAGCCGAUGUCGGAUUAGCUAGUUGGCGGGGUAAAGGCCCACCAAGGCGACGAUCCGUAGCUGGUCUGAGAGGAUGCACACCCAGACGGGAUGUGAGGAAGGUCAAACCCCCUGAGGGGGGGAAACGGUGGAGAGUAUUAAAGGAGGGGGCAGUGCCUAAGCCUGCCAAACGGGGGGGGUAAAGAAGUCUUCAGGGUGCAAAAGCCAUUUUGUUGGAAGAAAAGACAAGCUGUUUAAGCCCCGGCUUUACUGCCGGUACCCAAAGAAGAAGCCCCGGCUAACUUGGUG